This 406-nucleotide long non-coding RNA is filed under the name Citrus x clementina. RNAcentral describes it as "Citrus clementina (C. clementina) long non-coding RNA (CCLE_LNC001572)". The record is from RNAcentral. Lineage: Eukaryota; Viridiplantae; Streptophyta; Magnoliopsida; Sapindales; Rutaceae.
AAAUGAGGAUAAAGUUGACAUUUUAAAUUUUGGAGAGGGGCAAAAUGGUCAAUCUUGGGAAUGGAGACUCAUUCCCACCUCCUCCAUUGAGAAUGAGUCUCUCAUUCCUCAUUUCUAAAUUGUGGUAGGCCCCAUGAUUCCGAUUCUCAACUUUAUUUUGUAAAGUAAUGUUGCGUUUACUUACCAGAUCAGGGAAUCGGAGUUCGAAAUCGAAAUCAUUGACGACGUUUACUUUACAAAAUAAAAUUGGAAAUCGGAAUUAGAAUCGUGGACCCUACCAUAAUUUGGGAAUGAGGAAUAGGGCUUGGGAAUGAGUCUCCCAUUCCCAACAUUCCCAAGAUUGACUAUUUUGCCCUCCCAAAAAUAAAAAAAAUGCUCAUUUUGUCCUCAUUUAUAAUUAAUUAAU